Bufo bufo (common toad) is the source of this 150-nucleotide long non-coding RNA. RefSeq lists it as uncharacterized. The record is from RefSeq and is a predicted model, not a curated record. The transcript is spliced from 3 exons. Lineage: Eukaryota; Metazoa; Chordata; Amphibia; Anura; Bufonidae.
AGAGAACAGUCUUAAAUGGAAUCUAUCACCAGUUUUAUGGUGUCCCAACUAAGGGCAACACAAACUAGUGACAGGUCCCCUUAGCAAAAUGCUGGGUCACUUUCUUUAACUGACCCAGCCAUUUUGCUAAAAUCUUAAACAGCUCCAGCG